RNAcentral lists this ribosomal RNA (304 nucleotides) under uncultured bacterium. RNAcentral describes it as "partial 16S ribosomal RNA". It matches the Rfam family "Bacterial small subunit ribosomal RNA", at positions 509 to 807 of the family's 1533-position model. The record is from RNAcentral.
CAGCAGUCGCCGCGGUAAAACGUAGGGUGCAAGCGUUAAUCGGAAUUACUGGGCGUAAAGCGUGCGCAGGCGGUUAUAUAAGACAGAUGUGAAAUCCCCGGGCUCAACCUGGGAACUGCAUUUGUGACUGUAUAGCUAGAGUACGGCAGAGGGGGAUGGAAUUCCGCGUGUAGCAGUGAAAUGCGUAGAUAUGCGGAGGAACACCGAUGGCGAAGGCAAUCCCCUGGGCCUGUACUGACGCUCAUGCACGAAAGCGUGGGGAGCAAACAGGAUUAGAUACCCCUGUAGUCCCUGUCUCUUAUAC